Non-coding RNA from Triticum aestivum (bread wheat), 135 nucleotides. The record is from Rfam. Lineage: Eukaryota; Viridiplantae; Streptophyta; Magnoliopsida; Poales; Poaceae.
AUUGUACUCCCUCCGUCCGAAAAUACUUGUCAUCAAAAUGGAUAAAAAGAGAUGUAUCUAAAAUUAAAAUACGUCUACAUGCAUUCCCUUUUAUCCAUUUUGAUGACAAGUAUUUCCGGACGGAGGGAGAAUUAA